RNAcentral lists this long non-coding RNA (572 nucleotides) under Homo sapiens (human). RNAcentral's name for it is "non-protein coding lnc-POTEH-3:3". Lineage: Eukaryota; Metazoa; Chordata; Mammalia; Primates; Hominidae. The record is from RNAcentral.
CACUCAGAGAAACUGCCAACCCUAGGAUGAAGUAUAUUGUUACUGUGCUUUGGGAUUAAAAUAAGUAACUACAGUUUAUAGAACUUUUAUACUGAUACACAGACACUAAAAAGGGAAAGGGUUUAGAUGAGAAGCUCUGCUAUGCAAUCAAGAAUCUCAGCCACUCAUUUCUGUAGGGGCUGCAGGAGCUCCCUGUAAAGAGAGGUUAUGGAGUCUGUAGCUUCAGGUAACCACUGAUCCACUUCCAGUCACUAUCCAUGAGUUUUUAUUUCCAAAUACAUGAAAUCAUAUGAAUUUCUGGUUUUUCCUGUUGGAGCCCAAGGAGCAAGGGCAGAAUGAAGAACAUGAUGUUUCCUACCGACAGUUACUCAUGACGUCUCCAUCCAGGACUGAGGGGGGCAUCCUUCUCCAUCUAGGACUGGGGGCAUCCUUCUCCAUCCAGUAUUGGGGGUCAUCCUCCUCCAUCCAGGACCUGAGGGGUGUCCUUUUCUGCGCUUCCUUGGAUGGCAGUCUUUCCCUUCAUGUUUAUAGUGACUUACCAUUAAAUCACUGUGCCGUUUUUUCCUAAAAUA